RNAcentral lists this transfer RNA (66 nucleotides) under Rhizoctonia solani. RNAcentral's name for it is "tRNA-Val". The record is from RNAcentral. Lineage: Eukaryota; Fungi; Basidiomycota; Agaricomycetes; Cantharellales; Ceratobasidiaceae.
GGAGUUAGCUGAGUGGUUUAGCAGUAAAUUUACACUUUACAGACUUAUCCAAGUUAGUUAACAUCU